UACGAAGGGGGCUAGCGUUGCUCGGAAUCACUGGGCGUAAAGCGCACGUAGGCGGAUUGCUAAGUCAGGGGUGAAUCCUGGAGCUCAACUCCAGAACUGCCUUUGAUACUGGCAACCUUGAGUCCGGGAGAGGUGAGUGGAACUGCGAGUGUAGAGGUGAAAUUCGUAGAUAUUCGCAAGAACACCAGUGGCGAAGGCGGCUCACUGGCCCGGUACUGACGCUGAGUGCGAAAGCGUGGGAGCAACAGG
This 249-nucleotide ribosomal RNA is filed under the name uncultured bacterium. Its description in RNAcentral is "partial 16S ribosomal RNA". It matches the Rfam family "Bacterial small subunit ribosomal RNA", at positions 524 to 776 of the family's 1533-position model. The record is from RNAcentral.